UACGUAGGGUGCGAGCGUUAAUCGGAAUACUGGGCGUAAAGCGUGCGCAGGCGGUUUUGUAAGCCAGAUGUGAAAGCCCCGGGCUCAACCUGGGAACUGCAUUUGGGACUGCAAGGCUGGAGUACGGCAGAGGGAGGUGGAAUUCCACGUGUAGCAGUGAAAUGCGUAGAGAGUGUGGAGGAACACCGAUGGCGAAGGCAGCCUCCGUGGGCUAGUACUGACGCUCAUGCACGAAAGCGU
This 240-nucleotide ribosomal RNA is filed under the name uncultured bacterium. Its description in RNAcentral is "partial 16S ribosomal RNA". It matches the Rfam family "Bacterial small subunit ribosomal RNA", at positions 524 to 762 of the family's 1533-position model. The record is from RNAcentral.